RNAcentral lists this long non-coding RNA (304 nucleotides) under Lathyrus oleraceus (garden pea). Its description in RNAcentral is "Pisum sativum (pea) long non-coding RNA (PSAT_LNC021670)". The record is from RNAcentral. Lineage: Eukaryota; Viridiplantae; Streptophyta; Magnoliopsida; Fabales; Fabaceae.
GCUUCUCUUCGAUCAAAUUCAAUUGGUCAUAACGACUUUGAAUCCAUUCAGCAUCAGUCAACUAGGGACUUGAGGGUAUAAUUUUUCUUUUUUCUUUUGAAGAAAUCUCGAAAAAAAUUUGCUGAUUUUUGAUUUUUUCAUCUUUUUCACCCUCUUUUUUUUUGUUUUUUUGUUUUUUGUUUUUUUGUUUUUUUUUUUUUUUUACAUUUGUAAUGCCCCAGUUUGACUGUUUUGCUGAUUCUCAUGAUACAGCUGAAUGAGCUUCUAUGGUGCUCAAGAAGGCGGGUAAUCUCAUCAGGAAUCC